UUUCCGUUGCUCACCAACAACCGCAAAGAGCACAUAAUAUGUAGCUCGAACGAGUUUCUGUGAAUUGUGUGCGCUAUAUAAACGUUGCUCAUUCGAAUCUCGUGCUUCAGUGCCACAAUAGUGGAUAUCACAUUUAGUAGUUUGUUAAAAGCAAAGACAUAAAUUCAUACACGCAGACAAAAUAAGAAAAGACCUCGUUUACAAUUUA
This is a long non-coding RNA of Drosophila arizonae, 208 nucleotides long. The record is from RefSeq and is a predicted model, not a curated record. NCBI's taxonomy places the organism in Eukaryota, Metazoa, Arthropoda, Insecta, Diptera, Drosophilidae.